AGAGUAAACUGGCACAGACCAAAACUAUGGUGAGAAUAAAUUCCUAGGAAUCAGCUUAUAACUUCAUAGACGAUUGAGAUGUAGUGUCCCAGAACAUUUGCUAGUACAGAUGUAGCCCCCAAAUCCCUGUCAAAUGCACAUAGAGUAUGUAUAUAUACACUUACAUAUUAUCUAUAUAUACUUCUGUGGAAUUUUGUGUACUUAAACUGUAUACUUAUAAGUACCAAGUUUUGUCUACGUAGGAAGGAUUUCUUGGCAUGAGCACGUCAGAGAGGCGUUCACAUUGCUGGCUGACUAGUAAUCUCAACUUCCAAGUGUCUUCAUUCCUCUCUUCCACAUUGACCUUGAGUUUCUAUCUUUCCAGACACUACAAUUUUGUUCUGCAUAACCGGAAACGGGGGAGAUGGGGGGGGGGGGAAUUUUCACACUCAUUUUCACAACUGGAGCAUGCACUCCUCCAUGCUUAGAGGUGUUUGCCUGGAGAGUGCUUCCACUUCUGAGAUUUGCUGCGGACCUCUGCAGCACAGUUUUACACACACGCUGUGCAAGGGCAAGCAGAUCCCAGGAGCAGUGAUGAGCCUAGAGCUCUUCUGUGAGCGAGCACCUCAGGAGAGUGGCAAGGGCCUGAGCCUAAAGCCAGAGCAAUGCACUCCGUGACUGACCAAGCUGAGUCAGAAGGAAAUGAGCUGCUCCACGGUAGCACAGCAGGAACUGCUGCAAGGACUCAGUCAUACACACAGGCAGGCAGGGCAGCCUGUAACUCAAAGCACGUAUAAAUGUGCUUCGCAGCCGGGGUUUGGCAAGCCCAUGCCUUGACAUGGCACCGACAUGGCUUGGGGAACCUCCGCUGCAGGCUGGUGUGGGCUGCCUUGCUCAGCCCUGAACCCAGGCGUAUCUCCUCCCGUCACAAAAUCCCUCCCGGCGCCUCUGGCCGCCGCCCGCCCUCCCCUCGGCGGCGUUUCUCAACUUGCCCGUCAGGGGGCAGCAGCAGCGCGCAUCAACGAGACCCGAGCAACGGCUCCAACGGCCGCCGGGGCGCGGCGUCCCGCCACGGCGGCUGCCCGCCUGUUUUGGAGCCUGCAGCUCCCGAGGAAAGCUAGGAGCCCAUCCCGGUGGUGGGAAGAGGGCAUCUCUAGGUUCUCUUCACGACAGUAGGGCGGUGGCACUGAGCUGCCUUCCCACCACAAAGCACACAGAUCCGAGGUGCAGAUUUCUUGUAUGAAGACAGAAGUCUUAUCCGUGUACAAAGCUUACCAUUGUCAAAUGUUGGGAAAACUGUGACUUCAAGAACUGUUAUGAAAAGCCCACAGUUGCUGAAUUCUGACUGCAUCUCCAUCCAGUGUGACAGCAUUCAAGCCACAGUUUGCUCUCUGCGUGUCCUUCCAUCACUACAAUAAAAAGAAGGUGUUGUGCUGGUGUGCAGCUGUGGCGAAGAACUAUUCUCACUGCUCACAGUUGGUCUGGAUCCUCCCCCCCAAACCAAAUAAAAGAUGGAGGUAAUCUCUCUGAGAGAGCUUUCUGUUUGUUGAGGCAGGAUGAGUACUCUUGUAAAGUCUGAAUGAAUGCAGACAACUCUGGGACCCAUAAUAGGAAAGCAAACACAAUACUCCAAGCACAGGGACUCCCAAGUGAUAGGAAGUGACUUCAGCACACCAGUUCCUCUAUUCCCGUAACUCUCUGUGGGUUUGCCAAUAAUCCUUAUCGUCUUUGCUGAGAAAGGAGUGCCUUUGCUAACUGAUUACAUCCUCCUUUCCUUACUGUGGUCAGCCGGUUGCUGCAUGCCAGAAGCAGCUGGCAUGAUUGAUAGAUAAACAUAUGUCUCAGCAUAUUUUCCCUUGUCUGCUAUAACUAUCCAGCUCUGCAGCAGUUCUAGAAAGGGGUGAAACAACACAGAGCAGUUUUGUCACCAAUACUGUUUUCUAGAAACACUACCCAGCAAAUCUCCACUUUUUUUCAUGCUUCCAAUCAAAGCAGCACAGAACUCUGUGCAGGAAAGUCACAGCCAUCCCUACCUCCUCUGACCAGAGCUUGUCCCACAGCCCAGCAGCCCCAGCAGACAAGGCAGUCCAUCUGCAAGACCAAGAAGAGGCAGGGCUCAAAGGGACCCUGAGAUGCCAGGCUUGAAGUGACCCUCUCAGCUACUGCCUGUGCCCCCACAAUCAGGCUGCACUUGGUCUAGCAAUGCAACCUAUGACUAGCCGAGAAACACCCCAAAGUUGAGUCUUUUGAGAAUGAGCAUGAGUGCAUUUGUUCUGGAAUUUUGGCAGGUUUGAUUAAAACUCUGGACACCUUGACUUCAAGACUUUUGGGUAGCCUGAAGGCAUUCUUUGAAUGCAAUACUACAGUCCAAGUAAGUAAUAAAAUGUUUCAGGACCACCUCUGCUCCAAGCUCAUCAUCUUUUAAACAGCACAUCAUGACAAGAGGCAUCUCAGGUCAAAUUCCAUUUUGAUUUGAGUCACUAGAGUGACAUCAGAGAUGGACUUAGCCCAGUUUGUUAAGAGACUAGGAGAUGGCCAAUUGUAUUUAUUUUUUCUUCUGGUUUCGGUUCCUGGAAUCUGGUUUAAAGAUGUGGCUCUUCCCUUGCUGUGAGCUCACGCCACGAAAUGGGCAGCGAUGCUCAAAUAGCAUCUUCUUUGACCUUUGUGGGACUGAGAUGACUGUGGUUGCUUUUUGAAGGCUUCUGCGAAGCAACCAGCAGCAGCCUCUGUACCCCAUCCCCUGAACUGCAUCUGCAGCAUCCAGCCACAGUCCCUCCGGAGGGCAGCGUGGCUCUCAGUGACGACAUUACGCUCUUAAUUUGUUCCAGUCUGUUUCACACUGACAUUUUAGCACUGACGUCAUCAGCUGCUGAAAUUUCAUUGCUGCUGCUAAGAAUAACAGCCCUUCUCAUCCCCCACCUUACACCAAAUACUUAUUUAUUAAUACAGCAAGGAUUAUCUUUUCUGACACAAAUCAGGUUCUGGUGGUUACGAGAAGCAAGAACAAAGCACAGAAGAUGCCUGCAUGUUCUGUCAGGCUGGGACAACAACAACAACAACAAAAACCAACUCAAGAGCAUAUUUACAAAAAGUAAAAGCCCUUCAAAAACCCAAUUGGAAAAACUCAGACUGAUUUGUUUUAAGCCUUCCUCACUGGACAGUCUUAAGCGCAAUGCAUUGCUUCAGUAGCCUAGGCUACAGCCCACUCCAGAAGUCACACACAGAGCCCUUUCCAAAUUCUUCCAGCCUUUGUACGUUGUAUCUUUGCUUAUAGCAGUGCAGUGUGGGCGUAAAACACUGUGAAAUCAGAAUUCCCCAUUGACUUUGGGGCCCGAACCAAAUCCUAUUGAUUUCCGUGGGAGGAUUUCCAUUAACUCAAAUGGGCAUUGAAUCAAACCUAAAUUGGCAGUGCUUUGCACCCAUUUGGCAUAGUGUAGUUGUCUGCAUAAGGUGGAGAAUUAGGUCCAAAGACACUGAGAAACGCUUUAAUUAAGAGCAUUAUUGAAGAGAGAGAGAGUUUUUCCAUCCUUAUGCUGAUAAACUGCAUUUGUUCUACACUCCUAAUGGCAAGGGGUCAUAUUUUCAGAUGCUUGGACUAAAAAUGAAGCUGAGUGCUGAGAAGAUUUCCAAAAAGAUGCUUAAAGGCAAAUGAGAUGCUGGGAAGCCCCUGAAAUCAACAGGUCCAUUAACUUAUUUACAUGUUUUGAAGAUCCUUGGAGGUGCCUAUCUGCAUCUUUGGUAGCCUUAUCAAUCCAACCAGCAAUCACUAACCUCUGACAUCAGCUGUGGGUUCAGUUGUCCAUUACACCAGCCCAGAUCCUCAUAUCCCAGUAACACAGGCAGCGUGGUUGGUUCAGGUUGGAGCUGGGACAAAAGUUCCCUGCAGACAACACAGCUCAGUGACUCUUUACCGACACACUCAGUGGGGCCGUGGCUGCAGCCACCUGUCCUCCAUCACACCUCUGCCAGGUCAUUCAGCUGGGGCACCUGAUCCACAGCUGUCCCCUGGGCUCAGGUAACCAAAGUCCCCAUGAAGCAGACACACAGGGAUCCUGGAAAUGUUAUUUUCAGGCAGCACAGGGGAAGCCAGCAGCUAGCUGAGCUUCCGUUCCAGAAGCAAUCUGAACCUAGACAGCCCUGCAUCCGGUCAAGGGGAGAAUUCUCAAAACUUCUUUGUUACUACUUUCCCAUCAACUAUGAGGUCUCUAGCAUCAUUUCCUGUAUUGCUGCUGACCCUUUUGGGGCACCUUCCUGCACUGCCUGACCUUCUGCAACUGUUGCGCUCUUUACCUCAGCAAGUGUCUUUAUUGUGAAGUAAGGAAAGUUUUGGGAGCUGGCCUUUCCAAUGGAUGCUUUUGUUGUAGGCUGCAGUACUUUGCCUGGCUGUUAUUUUUCACUUGGACUUGUGUGCUUUGGCAUGGUCACUCUGAAAAGCACAGGGAGACCAAUCAGGAGACGUGAAAGACAACAUCAAUGCUCACAAAACCGAGGGACUGCAAGAGGGGAGCCCAGCACUUUCACACUCAGAUGGAAGCCUUCCCCUAACGGGAUUCUUUACCGAGAAACCACCCAGAAAAAGUAGGUGCUGGAGAGGAAAGCAAAGUGAAAGGGUUUCCAAAGCCAAGCCUUACAGAAGGAACACGGAGAUGAGGAUUUCUCAUGAGCCCUGGCAGCUAUUUACAUCCAGCUGGGAUCACCAGCAAGGUCACUUGCUGCUGGGCUGAAGAACAGGCCCCCAGGCUGAUGCAUUCCCCUCAAACGAGGUCAGAGCCCAAGGGACGGCUGCUGCCACCUGACUUCCUCACCCCCCCUCCCGUGCUAAUUUCUUCCUCCCAUGAGUAAUUUCCCUGCACCUCCUCCCACACGCACACCCCCCAGUUCCUUGCACUGUGCAUUUUUAUGCACAAAGGGAAUGUGCUAGAUUACACCACCUGCUACUGGAAUAAGCACCAGGUAAAGGGAAAGGAAUGUGCAGAGGGAUGUGACCCGUGCAAGCCAGGGGAGAAAACUUCCUGCCUGGCACUGGCACGGGGCGGGAGCAGCUCUCCAAGCAGCUCUUGCUGACAAAACCCCACUUUGCAGGUUAAAGGCUGGAUGUGCUGCCUGCACCAAAAGGAGCCAUCUAAUUAAAGAUCACUGGAAACCACAUGCAUUUGCAGAAAUGGCCCCACUUCAGAGGAAUCUCUCGAGGCAAAUAACUCAGUCACUUUUCAAGGGCACAGACAUUUGUAGCAAUAGCCUCCGCAGCCACGCUCAUGAGGAGCGAGGCACAAGUGUUUUCAAUCCCGUACCGCGGGGCAUGAGCUGACACUCCGCUGGGGGUCAGGAAGGCAUUUCCUCCCGGAGGAUAUUAUUGUUCUGCGAUUUAUCUCAUGGGAGAUGCGUGUCUUCCUCCCAAAUACUGCCGUUAACCAUUAUUAUUAAAAAAUAAAAGAAUUAAAACAAAGAAAAGAAGAAGAAGAAAAGAAAGAAAUCCCUCAACCAGGCGCGUUCGGGCCCAACGCUCCGCUCCCAUCACCAUCCCAUCGCACCCCACCCCACCCGGGCGCGGGCAGGGCGCCGGG
Molecule: long non-coding RNA, 5543 nt
Organism: Phasianus colchicus (ring-necked pheasant)
Lineage: Eukaryota; Metazoa; Chordata; Aves; Galliformes; Phasianidae
Source: RefSeq, a predicted model, not a curated record